This 1369-nucleotide ribosomal RNA is filed under the name uncultured organism. RNAcentral describes it as "16S ribosomal RNA". It matches the Rfam family "Bacterial small subunit ribosomal RNA". The record is from RNAcentral.
AUACAUGCAAGUCGAACGUGAAAUACCUUCGGGUCGAGUAAAGUGGCGCACGGUUGAGUAACGCGGAAAUAAUCUGCCCCGCUGUCUGGGAUAACCUUUCGAAAGGGAGGCUAAUACCGGAUAAUAAUGAUUCCUUUCUGGGAGUCGUUGAAAGUUGCGGCGCACCGGGAUGAUUCUGCGUCCCAUUAGCUUUUUGGUGGGGUAAUGGCCUACCAAGGCGACGAUGGGCAGCGGGUUUGAGAGGACGAUCCGCCUCACUGGAACUGAAACACGGUCCACUUUCCUACGGUAGGCGAAACCCUGGAAUUUUGCGCAAUGGAGAGGGCCUGAGCCUAUAUGCCGCGUGAGUGAAAAACGGCCUCGGUUCUUAAAGCUCUUUAUCUUCGGGAACAUGAUGACGGUACCGAAGGACGAAGCACCGGCUAACUACAUGCCAGCACCCGCGGUAAUACUUAGGGUGCAAACGUUGUUCGGAAUCGCUGGGCGUAAAGGGCGUGUAGGCGGAACCAUAAACGAGGGGUGAAAUCCCGGAGCUCAACCACGGAACUGCUCUUCGAGCUAUCGAUCUUCAGAAGGUCACGGGCCAGUGGAAUUCCUGGUGUAAAGGUGAAAUUCGUAGAGAUUAUGAGGAACAUCGUAGUGAAGGUGGCCGGCUAGAGCCAUUCUGACGUUAAGCGAGAAAGCGUGGGGAGCAAACAGGAUUAGAUACCUGGUAGUCCACGCCGUAAACGAUGGAUACUAGGUGUCCGAAAUGUUCGACCAUUUUGGGUACCGCAGCUAACGCUUUAAGUACCCCGCCUGGGAAGUACGGUCGCAAGACUAAAACUCAAAGGAAUUGACGGGGGCCCGCACAAGCGGUGGAACAUGUGGUUUAAUUUGUCGCAACGCGCAAAACCUUACCUGGAUUUGACAUCCCGGGACCACUUCAGAGAUGAGGUUUUCUUUUCGGAGACCCGGUGACAGGUGCUGCAUGGCUGUCGUCAGCUCGUGUCGUGAGAUGUUGGGUUAAGUCCCGCAACGAGCGCAACCCCGGUCCCUAGUUGCCAGCAUUCAGUUGGGCACUCUAAGGAGACUCCCGGGGUUAACCGGGAGGAAGGGGGGGAUGACGUCAAUUACUCAUGGCCUUUAUGUCCAGGGUUACACCCGUGUUACAAUGGGGGGGCCAAAGAGUGCCCAAGCUGGGAAGCUGCGCAAUUCUCAAAAAAACCCUUUCAGUUCGGAUCGCAGUCUGCAACUUGUCUGCGUGAAGUUGGAAUCGCUAGUAAUCGCGGAUCAGCACGCCGCGGAGAAUACGUUCCCGGGCCUUGUACACACCGCCCGUCACACCAUGGGAGUUGACAGGGGCAGAAGACGUUGAGCUAACCGCAAG